GACUAACGUUGGCGGCGUGCGUAAUACAUGCAAGUCACACGGGAUUGGGGCAACUCAAUUCAGUGGCGAACGGGUGAGUAACACGUGGAUGAUCUACCCUUAAGAUCGGGAUAACUAGCCGAAAGGUUAGCUAAUACCGGGUAUGACCACGGUCUGUAUCGUCAGAUCGAGGUAAGAGCAGGGGACCGCAAGGCCUUGCGCUUAAGGAUGAGUCCGCGGCUGAUUAGCUAGUUGGCGGGGUAAUGGCCCACCAAGGCGACGAUCAGUAGCCGGCCUGAGAGGGUGACCGGCCACACUGGGACUGAGACACGGCCCAGACUCCUACGGGAGGCAGCAGUAGGGAAUUUUCCACAAUGGGCGAAAGCCUGAUGGAGCAACGCCGCGUGAGGGAUGAAGGUUUUCGGAUCGUAAACCUCUUUGGAGCGGGAAGAACGGCGGUUGGGUGAAUAAUCCAGCCGCGUGACGGUACCGCUAGAACAAGACACGGCUAACUCUGUGCCAGCAGCCGA
RNAcentral lists this ribosomal RNA (509 nucleotides) under uncultured bacterium. RNAcentral's name for it is "bacterial SSU rRNA". It matches the Rfam family "Bacterial small subunit ribosomal RNA", at positions 28 to 518 of the family's 1533-position model. The record is from RNAcentral.